This 253-nucleotide ribosomal RNA is filed under the name uncultured bacterium. RNAcentral describes it as "partial 16S ribosomal RNA". It matches the Rfam family "Bacterial small subunit ribosomal RNA", at positions 524 to 776 of the family's 1533-position model. The record is from RNAcentral.
GACGGGGGAUCCUAGCGUUGCUCGGAAUUAUUGGGCGUAAAGAGCUUGUAGGCGGUUUGUCGCGUCUGCUGUGAAAUCUCAAGGCUCAACCUUGAGCUUGCAGUGGGUACGGGCAGACUAGAGUGUGGUAGGGGAGACUGGAAUUCCUGGUGUAGCGGUGAAAUGCGCAGAUAUCAGGAGGAACACCGAUGGCGAAGGCAGGUCUCUGGGCCACUACUGACGCUGAGAAGCGAAAGCAUGGGGAGCGAACAGG